Molecule: ribosomal RNA, 253 nt
Filed under: uncultured prokaryote
Description: partial 16S ribosomal RNA
Rfam family: Bacterial small subunit ribosomal RNA
Source: RNAcentral
UACGUAGGGUGCGAGCGUUAAUCGGGAUUACUGGGCGUAAAGCGUGCGCAGGCGGUUUUGUAAGACAGGCGUGAAAUCCCCGGGCUCAACCUGGGAACUGCGUUUGUGACUGCAAGGCUAGAGUAUGGCAGAGGGGGGUGGAAUUCCACGUGUAGCAGUGAAAUGCGUAGAGAUAUGGAGGAACACCGAUGGCGAAGGCAGCCCCCUGGGUCAAGAUUGACGCUCAUGCACGAAAGCGUGGGGAGCAAACAGG